CACGCAGAGUGGAAUUAGAGUAAUUGGGAAAAACGCAAUGGCUCAAAAGAUGUUGAUGGUGGCGGUCCUUGUGAUAUUGGGGACGAAGAUGGCGACGGUUACGGUUGCGAAUCCGACCUGUUUGCCCUGUGCUCCUUACUUCAACAACGCCACUCUCCAACUGCAAGACAAUUGCUGUGACCCUCUCAAACAAGCGCCAGUUGCUACUCAAAGGCAGCCUCUUUAACAACCCUACUUUGCUUACUUCUUUCAACAUCCCCAUCGAUGGAGCUCUUAGGAUCACUCGUCAGUGCGGUGUCACUGAUGAGAUCAACGGCUGCAUCCCCGGAAUAUAACAGCUGCUUGAAUAGUACGAUAUGGCUGAACCAUAUCAUUAUGUGUUCAUACCACACCAUCUCCUUCCCCAUCAGCUACUUCUCCCACAUCUGCUCCACCCACUACCAGGUAGCAUACUUGUUUUAUUCGAUUAUCUCUCUAUAUUUAUUUGUAUACUUGUUUGGUCAAUGUUAUUAGCAUAUACAUUAUUUAUUCAGUCAAUUUUAUUAUUUUUGU
Long non-coding RNA from Gossypium raimondii (Peruvian cotton), 552 nucleotides. RefSeq lists it as uncharacterized. The transcript is spliced from 3 exons. The record is from RefSeq and is a predicted model, not a curated record. Lineage: Eukaryota; Viridiplantae; Streptophyta; Magnoliopsida; Malvales; Malvaceae.